Molecule: ribosomal RNA, 790 nt
Filed under: bacterium 76td
Lineage: Bacteria
Description: bacterial SSU rRNA
Rfam family: Bacterial small subunit ribosomal RNA
Source: RNAcentral
AGAGUUUGAUCCUGGCUCAGAUUGAACGCUGGCGGCAUGCUUUACACAUGCAAGUCGAACGGUAACAUGGGUGCUUGCACCUGAUGACGAGUGGCGAACGGGUGAGUAAUACAUCGGAACAUGCCCAAUUGUGGGGGAUAGCUCGGCGAAAGCCGGAUUAAUACCGCAUAAGAUCUACGGAUGAAAGCAGGGGACCUUCGGGCCUUGCGCGAUUGGAGUGGCCGAUGGCAGAUUAGGUAGUUGGUGGGGUAAAGGCCUACCAAGCCUGCGAUCUGUAGCUGGUCUGAGAGGACGACCAGCCACACUGGGACUGAGACACGGCCCAGACUCCUACGGGAGGCAGCAGUGGGGAAUUUUGGACAAUGGGCGCAAGCCUGAUCCAGCAAUGCCGCGUGCAGGACGAAGGCCUUCGGGUUGUAAACUGCUUUUGUACAGAACGAAAAGUCUCUGGUUAAUACCUGGGGAUCAUGACGGUACUGUAAGAAUAAGCACCGGCUAACUACGUGCCAGCAGCCGCGGUAAUACGUAGGGUGCGAGCGUUAAUCGGAAUUACUGGGCGUAAAGCGUGCGCAGGCGGCGAUGCAAGACCGAUGUGAAAUCCCCGGGCUCAACCUGGGAACUGCAUUAGUGACUGCAUUGCUGGAGUGCGGCAGAGGGGGAUGGAAUUCCGCGUGUAGCAGUGAAAUGCGUAGAUAUGCGGAGGAACACCGAUGGCGAAGGCAAUCCCCUGGGCCUGCACUGACGCUCAUGCACGAAAGCGUGGGGGGCAAACAGGAUUAGAUACCCUGGU